This 453-nucleotide ribosomal RNA is filed under the name uncultured bacterium. Its description in RNAcentral is "bacterial SSU rRNA". It matches the Rfam family "Bacterial small subunit ribosomal RNA", at positions 340 to 786 of the family's 1533-position model. The record is from RNAcentral.
UACGGGAGGCAGCAGUGGGGAAUAUUGCACAAUGGGCGCAAGCCUGAUGCAGCCAUGCCGCGUGUAUGAAAAAGGCCUUCGGGUUGUAAAGUACUUUCAGUCGUGAGGAAGGUGUUAAGGUUAAUAACCUUAGCAAUUGACGUUAGCGACAGAAGAAGCACCGGCUAACUCCGUGCCAGCAGCCGUGGUAAUACGGAGGGUGCGAGCGUUAAUCGGAAUUACUGGGCGUAAAGGGCACGCAGGCGGUUAAUUAAGUUGGAUGUGAAAUCCCCGGGCUUAACCUGGGAAUGGCAUUCAAGACUGGUUAGCUAGAGUCUUGUAGAGGGGGUAGAAUUCCAUGUGUAGCGGUGAAAUGCGUAGAGAUGUGGAGGAAUACCGGUGGCGAAGGCGGCCCCUGGACAAAGACUGACGCUCAUGUGCGAAAGCGUGGGGAGCAAACAGGGAUUAGAUACC